AUCCAGCUGACGAGUCCCAAAUAGGACAAAACACGCGUCCUGGAU
Molecule: non-coding RNA, 45 nt
Organism: Schistosoma rodhaini
Lineage: Eukaryota; Metazoa; Platyhelminthes; Trematoda; Strigeidida; Schistosomatidae
Source: Rfam